UGUCCUCUUGUGUCUGCUGCUGCUGCUGCUGUGUGGACGUGUGUGUGACUUUUCACUUUGUCACAAGUCUGAGAACCAGGAAAGAGGACACCAAUGGAAUGAUCCGGCUAAAAAACCAACAAAUCUGACCUGGAUUCUAAACUCUGCAGGUCCUGUUCCUGAUAGGUUCAAGACCGAUCCCACACAAUCCAGUCACGGACCGCUAUCAUCUUUAAAAGCUGUAAUAAAACGCACAAAAUCAAAAUCUCAGAUCAAGCACAGCAGAGGUAAUUAUAAAAGGUAAAAGCAAUUAUAUCACAUUUGAUUUGUAUAACUAUGGGCCUACA
Molecule: long non-coding RNA, 326 nt
Filed under: Neogobius melanostomus (round goby)
Lineage: Eukaryota; Metazoa; Chordata; Actinopteri; Gobiiformes; Gobiidae
Description: lncRNA (ENSNMLG00000026632.1)
Source: RNAcentral